This 490-nucleotide long non-coding RNA is filed under the name Hordeum vulgare. RNAcentral describes it as "long non-coding RNA (HVUL_LNC010412)". The record is from RNAcentral. Lineage: Eukaryota; Viridiplantae; Streptophyta; Magnoliopsida; Poales; Poaceae.
AGGAGGUGGUUUUGGUGGUGGUGCAGGCGGUGGCCUCGGUGGAGGUCUUGGGCAUGGUGGUGGUCUUGGUGGAGGUGGUGGCCUUGGUGGUGGUUCAGGCGGUGGCCUCGGCGGAGGUCUUGGGCACGGUGGAGGUCUUGGUGGAGGUGGUGGCCUUGGUGGAGGUCUUGGGCAUGGCGGUGGUCUUGGUGGAGGUGGUGGCCUUGGUGGUGGUGCAGGUGCAGGGGGCGGACUCGGUGGCGGAGCUGGAGGUGGUCUCGGUGGUGGUGCAGGUGGAGGAGGUGGACUUGGUGGCGGCGUAGGAGGGGGUGGUGGCUUGGGCGGUGGUGCAGGAGGCGGUCUCGGUGGUGGGACUGGAGGUGGUCUGGGUGGCGGCGCAGGUGGUGCUGGAGGCGGUCUCGGUGGUGGGGCUGGAGGUGGUCUGGGUGGCGGCGCAGGUGGAGGAGGCGGUCUCGGUGGUGGUGUUGGAGGCGGUCUAGGUGGCGGUGCA